Podarcis lilfordi (Lilford's wall lizard) is the source of this 71-nucleotide non-coding RNA. NCBI's taxonomy places the organism in Eukaryota, Metazoa, Chordata, Lepidosauria, Squamata, Lacertidae. The record is from the annotation of a GenBank genome assembly.
CAGUUAGCUCAGUUGGUCAGAGCAUGGCGCUGAUAACGCCAAGGUCGCGGGUUUGAUUCCCAUAUGAGUGU